This 387-nucleotide ribosomal RNA is filed under the name uncultured bacterium. RNAcentral's name for it is "bacterial SSU rRNA". It matches the Rfam family "Bacterial small subunit ribosomal RNA", at positions 28 to 416 of the family's 1533-position model. The record is from RNAcentral.
GACGAACGCUGGCGGCGUGCUUAACACAUGCAAGUCGAGCGGUAAGGCCCUUUCGGGGGUACACGAGCGGCGAACGGGUGAGUAACACGUGGGUGACCUGCCCUCAGCUCUGGGAUAAGCCUGGGAAACCGGGUCUAAUACCGGAUAUGACUCCAUGACGCAUGUUGUGGGGUGGAAAGCCUUGUGCGGCUGAGGAUGGGCCCGCGGCCUAUCAGCUUGUUGGUGGGGUGAUGGCCUACCAAGGCGACGACGGGUAGCCGGCCUGAGAGGGCGACCGGCCACACUGGGACUGAGACACGGCCCAGACUCCUACGGGAGGCAGCAGUGGGGAAUCUUGGACAAUGGGCGCAAGCCUGAUCCAGCGAUGCCGCGUGUGUGAAGAAGGCC